GUGUCAGCAGCCGCGGUAAUACGGAGGGUGCGAGCGUUGUUCGGAAUUACUGGGCGUAAAGCGCGUGUAGGCGGCCUCUUAAGUCUGGUGUGAAAGCCCGGGGCUCACCCCCGGAAGUGCACUGGAUACUGAGAGGCUCGAGUACCGGAGAGGAGGGUGGAAUUCCUGGUGUAGCGGUGAAAUGCGUAGAUAUCAGGAGGAACACCGGUGGCGAAGGCGGCCCUCUGGACGGAUACUGACGCUGAGACGCGACAGCGUGGGGAGCAAACAGGAUUAGAUACCCCCGUAGUCC
Molecule: ribosomal RNA, 292 nt
Filed under: uncultured bacterium
Lineage: Bacteria
Description: partial 16S ribosomal RNA
Rfam family: Bacterial small subunit ribosomal RNA
Source: RNAcentral